This 837-nucleotide ribosomal RNA is filed under the name Enterococcus durans. Its description in RNAcentral is "bacterial SSU rRNA". It matches the Rfam family "Bacterial small subunit ribosomal RNA", at positions 70 to 878 of the family's 1533-position model. The record is from RNAcentral. Lineage: Bacteria; Bacillati; Bacillota; Bacilli; Lactobacillales; Enterococcaceae.
UCUUUUUCCCACGGAGCUUGCUCCACCGGAAAAAGAGGAGUGGCGAACGGGUGAGUAACACGUGGGUAACCUGCCCAUCAGAAGGGGAUAACACUUGGAAACAGGUGCUAAUACCGUAUAACAAUCNAAACCGCAUGGUUUUGAUUUGAAAGGCGCUUUCGGGUGUCGCUGAUGGAUGGACCCGCGGUGCAUUAGCUAGUUGGUGAGGUAACGGCUCACCAAGGCCACGAUGCAUAGCCGACCUGAGAGGGUGAUCGGCCACAUUGGGACUGAGACACGGCCCAAACUCCUACGGGAGGCAGCAGUAGGGAAUCUUCGGCAAUGGACGAAAGUCUGACCGAGCAACGCCGCGUGAGUGAAGAAGGUUUUCGGAUCGUAAAACUCUGUUGUUAGAGAAGAACAAGGAUGAGAGUAACUGUUCAUCCCUUGACGGUAUCUAACCAGAAAGCCACGGCUAACUACGUGCCAGCAGCCGCGGUAAUACGUAGGUGGCAAGCGUUGUCCGGAUUUAUUGGGCGUAAAGCGAGCGCAGGCGGUUUCUUAAGUCUGAUGUGAAAGCCCCCGGCUCAACCGGGGAGGGUCAUUGGAAACUGGGAGACUUGAGUGCAGAAGAGGAGAGUGGAAUUCCAUGUGUAGCGGUGAAAUGCGUAGAUAUAUGGAGGAACACCAGUGGCGAAGGCGGCUCUCUGGUCUGUAACUGACGCUGAGGCUCGAAAGCGUGGGGAGCAAACAGGAUUAGAUACCCUGGUAGUCCACGCCGUAAACGAUGAGUGCUAAGUGUUGGAGGGUUUCCGCCCUUCAGUGCUGCAGCUAACGCAUUAAGCACUCCGCCUGGGG